This 502-nucleotide ribosomal RNA is filed under the name uncultured Desulfobulbus sp. Its description in RNAcentral is "bacterial SSU rRNA". It matches the Rfam family "Bacterial small subunit ribosomal RNA", at positions 903 to 1382 of the family's 1533-position model. Lineage: Bacteria; Pseudomonadati; Thermodesulfobacteriota; Desulfobulbia; Desulfobulbales; Desulfobulbaceae. The record is from RNAcentral.
CCCGCUCAGAAACUACAAAGGAAUUGACGGGGACCCGCACAAGCGGUGGAGUAUGUGGUUUAAUUCGAUGCAACGCGAAGAACCUUACCUGGUCUUGACAUCCCGGAGACCCUUAGGAAACUAGGGGGUGCUUCCAUCUGGAAGAAUCUGGAGACAGGUGCUGCAUGGCUGUCGUCAGCUCGUGUCGUGAGAUGUUGGGUUAAGUCCCGCAACGAGCGCAACCCUUGCCUUUAGUUGCCAGCAGUUCGGCUGGGCACUCUAAAGGGACUGCCGGUGUUAAACCGGAGGAAGGUGGGGAUGACGUCAAGUCCUCAUGGCCUUUAUGACCAGGGCUACACACGUACUACAAUGGCCGAUACAAAGGGCAGCGACACUGCGAGGUGAAGCCAAUCCCGUAAAAUCGGUCUCAGUCCGGAUUGGAGUCUGCAACUCGACUCCAUGAAGCUGGAAUCGCUAGUAAUCGCAGAUCAGCCAAGCUGCGGUGAAUACGUUCCCGGGCCUU